UAGGGAAUCUUCGGCAAUGGACGAAAGUCUGCCCGAGCAACGCCGCGUGUUUGAAGAAUUUUUUCGUUUCGUCAUACUCUGUUGUUAGAGCAGAACAAGGACGUUAGUAACUGAACGUCCCCUGUUGGUAUCUAACCAGAAAGCCACGGCUAACUACGUGCCAGCAGCCUCGGUAAUACGUAGUUGGCAAGCGUUGUCCGUCUUUAUUGGGCGUAAAGCGACCGCAGGCGGUUUCUUAAGUCUGAUGUGAAAGCCCCCGGCUCAACCGGGGAGUGUCAUUGGAAGCUAGGAGACUUGAGUGAAGAAGAAGGGAGUGGAACUCCAUGUGGAGCGGUGAAAUGCGUGGAUAUAUGGAGGAACACGAGUGGCGGAGGCGGCUUUCUGGUCUGAGAAUGAAGCUGAGGAACGAAAGCGCGGGGAGCAAACAGG
This 429-nucleotide ribosomal RNA is filed under the name Gemmatimonadota bacterium. Its description in RNAcentral is "Gemmatimonadetes bacterium partial 16S ribosomal RNA". It matches the Rfam family "Bacterial small subunit ribosomal RNA", at positions 355 to 776 of the family's 1533-position model. Lineage: Bacteria; Pseudomonadati; Gemmatimonadota. The record is from RNAcentral.